UGGACUACGGGGGUAUCUAAUCCUGUUUGCUCCCCACGCUUUCGCACAUGAGCGUCAAUGCCAGACCAGGUAGUCGCCUUCGCCACUGGUGUUCUUCCAAAUAUCUACGAAUUUCACCUCUACACUUGGAAUUCCACUACCCUCUUCUGGAUUCUAGCUCGACAGUCUUAAAAGCAAUUCCCAGGUUAAGCCCGGGGCUUUCACUUCUAAUUUAUCGAGCCGCCUGCGUGCGCUUUACGCCCAGUAAUUCCGAACAACGCUAGCCCCCUUCGUAUUACCGCGGCGGCUGACAC
RNAcentral lists this unclassified non-coding RNA (293 nucleotides) under uncultured fungus. Its description in RNAcentral is "sequence contains ITS1". Lineage: Eukaryota; Fungi. The record is from RNAcentral.